AAACAUUUCAAUAAUAUGCACAGGCCAAGAUAUUAACAAGGCCUACACUUCUAAUUUAGAGGAUAGAAAAGCAUGAGUUAACAAAGAGUUAAAUAGAGUUAACAAAGAGUUAAAUAGUGCAAGUAACCUGUACAGAUAUACCAUGUUACAGUCCACAGGAGAUGAAAAAAGUUUGUACAUGUAUUUCUCUUGUCAAAGUACCUGAGUCAUUUAGGGAGGGAGAGACCGGAAAAUGGUGUUUGAAGCCCUAAAACUAAUCUCCUAGUCUGGAAGUUGUUCAUAGUCCCCAUUUUCAGGAGAUUGGUGCGCUCCAUGGCCUAAUCUUCCUGUCAAAUCAUAACCGGAAUUGACUCUAGUAUCCGGACCACUCCUCCAAUCUGUGGACCUCAAAGGUGCCACAUGCAUACCCCGAGGAUGAAUCAUAAAAGGAUUUCCUCCCAUAGCUGGAGGAUCAUCAUUUCCCCUGAUUGGAUUCCUCCCAGAAGAUGAAUCAACUGGAGAACGGAAGCCAAUGUUUGAUAUCGACGCCCCUCCAACUGCUGAAGGCAACUUGCUGGCAGAAGCAUCAACUUUCACACCAGUGUUAACAUCCUUCUUGUUGUCAAGAAGAAAUGUACCAACAAUGACCUGAACAGGGCCACCGGCAGUUAGGGGUCCACCAACUCCUCCUCCAAUGAUCUGACCAUCUGUAUUAGAAAGGCAUACGCUGAGCCCACCUGUUCUCCCUCCAAUAUCAGUGUGCACAUAUGAUCCAGACAGAGAAAUGAUAUCAAAUCGACCCUGAUUUAAGAGUAUGCAGACAACAAUUAAUUUUGACAGUUUAACAAUUAUGUUAUGUCAAGGACUUCAACCAUGCCUAAAUUUGUGAAGGUGAAGCUUCCUUUCAGAACAAACAAAUUAGUCAAAGGUAUGUUCCUUUUGUGCAAAUAGCAAACUGACAGCCUUUUUUAAUGAGGAUAAGCACUAAAAGAGGAUAUUUCUGGUCACAUGAAAACGUAAAACUUUCAAUACUGACUGCUAAGUAAUCUUCUAUGUCACUUUGAGUAUUUCAAAUGCUUUUGAAUUUUCUCAAAGUUCCAUGGUAACAUAAUCAGGCUUGGCAAUGGCAUAUCAUCCACUGGGCACUGCAAAUAUACUUUUGCACCUAGCUGGUCUGACCACAGGAACGAACUUGUCACCCACAGUCACCAAACUUAUCAUAAAUCAAAUUAAAGUCAUUAACUUCCAAUUUGUUUCUUAAAAGUUGGUCACUAUAUUUUGAUUCUGAAACAGUAUCAUUGAGACCAGAUUCCCAUUCAUCUAGAAUUUGAAAUUUGCAAACCCAGACCAUCUGAUACACGAGCUCCUGGACAUAUUUGACAUUAUAUUUCACAAGAAUAAGCACUCUUCAACUUCCACAGAACAAUUCUACUUUCAGGAGAGUAAAAUGUAACAAUUUCUAAGAUAUUAGCAAGCAUGAUUUAUUUGUCAGAACUCAGUCAGGACUUUUGUUAGGCUCAUCUCUCUGCAGUUCAUUUCCUUUAUUC
Molecule: unclassified non-coding RNA, 1526 nt
Filed under: Hevea brasiliensis (rubber tree)
Lineage: Eukaryota; Viridiplantae; Streptophyta; Magnoliopsida; Malpighiales; Euphorbiaceae
Source: RNAcentral